Molecule: ribosomal RNA, 896 nt
Filed under: uncultured bacterium
Lineage: Bacteria
Description: bacterial SSU rRNA
Rfam family: Bacterial small subunit ribosomal RNA
Source: RNAcentral
AGAGUUUGAUCCUGGCUCAGGACGAACGCUGGCGGCGUGCUUAACACAUGCAAGUCGAACGGAAAGGCCCUGCUUGCAGGGUACUCGAGUGGCGAACGGGUGAGUAACACGUGGGUGAUCUGCCCUGCACUUCGGGAUAAGCCUGGGAAACUGGGUCUAAUACCGGAUAGGAGCCAUUUUUAGUGUGAUGGUUGGAAAGUUUUUUCGGUGUAGGAUGAGCUCGCGGCCUAUCAGCUUGUUGGUGGGGUAAUGGCCUACCAAGGCGGCGACGGGUAGCCGGCCUGAGAGGGUGGACGGCCACAUUGGGACUGAGAUACGGCCCAGACUCCUACGGGAGGCAGCAGUGGGGAAUAUUGCACAAUGGGCGCAAGCCUGAUGCAGCGACGCCGCGUGGGGGAUGACGGCCUUCGGGUUGUAAACUCCUUUCGCUAGGGACGAAGCUUUUUGUGACGGUACCUAGAUAAGAAGCACCGGCUAACUACGUGCCAGCAGCCGCGGUAAUACGUAGGGUGCGAGCGUUGUCCGGAAUUACUGGGCGUAAAGGGCUCGUAGGUGGUUUGUCGCGUCGUCUGUGAAAUUCCGGGGCUUAACUCCGGGCGUGCAGGCGAUACGGGCAUAACUUGAGUACUGUAGGGGUAACUGGAAUUCCUGGUGUAGCGGUGAAAUGCGCAGAUAUCAGGAGGAACACCGAUGGCGAAGGCAGGUUACUGGGCAGUUACUGACGCUGAGGAGCGAAAGCAUGGGUAGCGAACAGGAUUAGAUACCCUGGUAGUCCAUGCCGUAAACGGUGGGCGCUAGUGUGAGGGUCUUUUCACGACUUUCGUGCCGUAGCUAACGCAUUAAGCGCCCCGCCUGGGGAGUACGGCCGCAAGGCUAAAACUCAAAGGAAUUGACGG